GAUGAACGCUGGCGGCGUGCCUAAUACAUGCAAGUCGAGCGAACGGACGAGAAGCUUGUUUCUCUGAUGUUAGCGGCGGACGGGCGAGUAACACGUGGAUAACCUACCUAUAAGACUGGGAUAACUUCGGGAAACCGGAGCUAAUACUGGAUAAUAUUUUGUACCGCAUGGUUCAAAAGUGAAUGACGGUCUUGCUGUCUCUUAUAGACGGAUCCGCGCUGCAUUAGCUAGUUGGUAAGGUAACGGCUUACCAAGGCAACGAUGCAUAGCCGACCUGAGAGGGUGAUCAGCCACACUGGAACUGAGACACGGUCCAGACUCCUACGGGAGGCAGCAGUAGGGAAUCUUCCACAAUGGGCGAAAGCCUGACGGAGCAACGCCGCGUGAGUGAUGAAGGUCUUCGGAUCGUAAAACUCUGUUAUUAGGAAAGAACAUAUGUGUGAUUAACUGUGCACAUCUUGACGGUACCUAAACAGAAAGCCACGGCUAACUACGUG
This 497-nucleotide ribosomal RNA is filed under the name uncultured bacterium. RNAcentral's name for it is "partial 16S ribosomal RNA". It matches the Rfam family "Bacterial small subunit ribosomal RNA", at positions 28 to 507 of the family's 1533-position model. The record is from RNAcentral.